Molecule: long non-coding RNA, 1826 nt
Organism: Lagopus muta (rock ptarmigan)
Lineage: Eukaryota; Metazoa; Chordata; Aves; Galliformes; Phasianidae
Exons: 4
Source: RefSeq, a predicted model, not a curated record
UCCCUGCCUACCUGAGGCCUUCUAAAGGUUUUCCUGCAUUUUGUUCUGAGCCCCACUGUGAGACAAAUGAAUGCUUUCCUCACUUGGAAGAUGCCUGAAAGGAAGUGUGAAAUUCAGGAGGCAGAGGCUGCAGUUUUCAAGAAGCUGAAGGGAGAAGACUGGAGAGGACAAGCAGAAGAGGAUGAAACGGGCCAGCUGGUGUUCUGCAGACUGUGCCAUCACUGGGAUCCCAGGGCCUCCCCUUCUCUGUGUGCUGGCAGAGGCCGCUGUCACUGGAACCCAGAACCACGCACUGCCAUUUGCAGACCCUGAUGUCAAACAGCAUGGAGAGCUCACCAUGUGAAAACCAGUGCAAAAAGCACUCGCAGAACUCAGCCUUGAGCAACUUCCUGAAAAUGGAACUGCUGCACGCUAGCUUUGAUAACUGUAGCAAGUUCAUUAACUUUUCUUUCCACUGUGGCCUUGUAGGGAAGUGCACAGAUUCUUCAUGCUCUGAACCAUGCCCAGAAACUGGCUCCCACCUUCAGGACAGAUGCGAAUGGAAGCAAAGCUACAGCUUGGCUGUUACCUAUGGUAUAGAAAAGGUCCAGAGCCAGUUUCAGUUUAUCACAGGCUGACAACUCUUGUUCUCCAAAGCAACAGCAUCCCACUGUUUCGCAUCCUUAACUGCAAGUUACGUCCCUUGCAAGUUUGCUUUGUGAACCUCAGAUCCUGUGAACGUGCCUGUGGCGUGAGGUACAAAGGGAGAUAGAGCAGGCUUUGUGUGUGCUGCAGCUGGACACACACCCAUGUACAGGAGGUAGACAUGCAUGCAUGUCCUGUACUAACAGCACGCACUCAGGCUGCUCCUACAGAGUGAUGCAUCUCAGUGCCUGCAGAGUGAAAGCGACAAUUCACAGCCCCUGAAGCCCAUUCCUAUGGCCCAGCUUGGGCUGGCAUCUUUGCUGCAGGAGCUCGUUUAGAGCACAAAUCAUCCUUCCAUUUGCUGCCUGAUGAGCUGUGGAGUUCUGCAUCAGCUGAGUGGUAUGAAAUUAUGACCUUGGAACCGCUGAUCAGGCCGAGCUCUGGUUUUCAUUACAGGCUCUUGGAUAACAGUGGAAAUGGGCACCUCUUCUGGACCUGGACUCAGAAAACUCAAUGCAGCAUGCCUCUCCUUGCAGGUGAGUGACAGGGAACUCGGUCACAAAUUGUUUCUCUGUUGACCUUAAAUCAGCAGCAGCACCCUGGGUUUCAGCUAAAUUACUUUGCUUUUUAACAGUCCAAGUAAAUACAGAUCCGGCACACUCGUGCAACUCUGUCAUAAUGGUGAAGUUUGAAGCUUGCUGGCAAUCUUGUGCUUGAUCGUAUCAUUUGCUCCUCUCAAUUAACUCCCAGCUCACUGGCAAUUAGCUUAGGAUCUUUCUCGCUGCAUUUCCUGGCAGGGUGUUGAUGCAGUUCUGGAAUGUGAUUAUACUUUGCUGUGGUAUAUUUGAGUGUGUCUUAAUAAUAGGCAGGAAUUGCUCCGUAAAUACUACUAAUGUGAGCAUAUCACACAGCCCCAGACUCGUAUGUUGGAAAUUUUUGUGGAGUGCUCCUUUACAGCUUUAAUGGAGCUAACAGUAGUUAAUGUGGUAACUCAGGCAUUGAGAAGUUCAUUUGUAUUCUCACUAACAUCUGCAGGCUUGCUGCAUUUAAAUGCUAACUUUUCUUUUAAAUGCUCCCUUCUAUACUGCAUCUCAUUUUAGGUAACUUUCAGCAGCUGCAGAAGAGAAUGGCUUAGUUCUAUCCCAUCACCUCCUCCCUGCCCUUUCAUAGCAAGUAGACAUAUUUUAGUUCCUGUGCUCUUC